UACGUAGGGUGCGAGCGUUGUCCGGAAUUAUUGGGCGUAAAGAGCUCGUAGGCGGUUUGUCGCGUCUGCUGUGAAAACUCAGGGCUUAACCCUGAGCUUGCAGUGGGUACGGGCAGACUAGAGUGCGGUAGGGGAGACUGGAAUUCCUGGUGUAGCGGUGAAAUGCGCAGAUAGUCAGGGAGGGAACACCCGGUGGCGGAAGGCGGGUCUCUGGGC
RNAcentral lists this ribosomal RNA (216 nucleotides) under uncultured bacterium. Its description in RNAcentral is "partial 16S ribosomal RNA". It matches the Rfam family "Bacterial small subunit ribosomal RNA", at positions 524 to 734 of the family's 1533-position model. The record is from RNAcentral.